RNAcentral lists this ribosomal RNA (467 nucleotides) under uncultured bacterium. RNAcentral describes it as "partial 16S ribosomal RNA". It matches the Rfam family "Bacterial small subunit ribosomal RNA", at positions 28 to 507 of the family's 1533-position model. The record is from RNAcentral.
GACGAACGCUGGCGGCGUGCUUAACACAUGCAAGUCGAACGGAAAGGCCCUGCUUUUGUGGGGUGCUCGAGUGGCGAACGGGUGAGUAACACGUGAGUAACCUGCCCUUGACUUUGGGAUAACUUCAGGAAACUGGGGCUAAUACCGGAUAGGAGCUCCUGCUGCAUGGUGGGGGUUGGAAAGUUUCGGCGGUUGGGGAUGGACUCGCGGCUUAUCAGCUUGUUGGUGGGGUAGUGGCUUACCAAGGCUUUGACGGGUAGCCGGCCUGAGAGGGUGACCGGCCACAUUGGGACUGGGAUACGGCCCAGACUCCUACGGGAGGCAGCAGUGGGGAAUAUUGCACACUGGGCGGAAGCCUGAUGCAGCAACGCCGCGUGCGGGAUGACGGCCUUCGGGUUGUAAACCGCUUUCGCCUGUGACGAAGCGUGAGUGACGGUAAUUGGUAAGAAGCACCGGCUAACUACGUG